AUCUAUUAGCCAGAAUUGAUCAGGAAUUCUCCAUUUUGCAUUUCAGACACAGAUUUUCAUUUUUUAGUUCUUUUUCCCUUCCACUUUUGCUAGAAUGUAGAAGCAACAGAUCUGCAACACUCCCACAAACUUCACUUCCUGGGCUGAAAGUGAAAUUGGAACAACAAUUGGAACAAAUGCCACCUGGCUCAGCUCCCUGCUCUCCUAGCUUGGGAUAGCCCACUGCCUGCUGGCUUCUAGGACUAAGCAGAGGUGCUGCUCUUUGCCAGUCCAUCACACCUUCUUAAUUGCUGUGUGUCUAAUUCAAGUGUGUAUUGCCACCAGAGUAUGCCAUGAAUAUAGGCAAUAAUAGAAGAUAUGCUGCUGUGAAACUGCACUGGCUCCCACGGUUCAAAGCUUUUGCAAAGGAAGUAGAGCUGCAGCACUGUUCUAGCUACACACAGACAGAAAUGUUCAUCUGCUUUCUUCAAACUCUUCCCUCUUCAGCUUGUACUUCUGGGCUUCAUUCAGAUUGAUACACUUAGAGGAGAACUAACACACAGAACAAAAGGGUUCUCCUGGCCAUAUCGACCUGCGGGAAGCAGAAUGGGACCUAUGGGGACUGUUACCCUCUCAGCAGUACUCCUUCAUGUAGCACAUCUGCAGCACAGUUCUUCCUAUGAUAGGCAUAUCACUGAGCAUCCCUUUCACCCAGGUUGUGGCUGAUCUAUGUCUGUGUGUGCAUAUAUUCACAACUGCAACCUUCAACACAUUUGAAAAGCUGUAUUGUUUUUUAAAGGAUAUUUUGGUAUGCCACAGAAGUAAUCACUUAGCAAAUUCCUCAGACUUUCCUUGCCAGUGACAUCUGCAUGAAAAAUCAUCUCCAAACAAAAAGACACAGUAACUGAUACCCACAGAUCUUUCUGGCCCUGCCCAGCUUCCCCAGGAGCCUCAGCACCUCCUACCUGUGGGCUCCUGUGGCUCCCAGUCCCUGCCUGAGAGACAUCAUAGCUGUCUCCAGCUGCAUCAUGGCCAUGCCUCUGUCUGGCCAUGCACACUUCUGGCCAGUACCCUGAGCAGCAGCCUGAUUUUCUGGCUUGACCAGGACCUGCCUCAAACCCAUGGGCUGUGCUUGACCCUACUCCUUAAUAUGGCAGAAGCAACACCUGAAAAAAACUAUUUAAGAAGGAAAACACUAUGGCAAAGGAGAAAAAAAAAUCUUUAUGUAACUUGUUAAAUGUACUUGAAAAUGAGGUUUCUGUUGAUGAAGGCACUGCUCUGCACCCACUUACAUAUGUAUUAGAAUUAGUCCUGUGUGCAAAGACUCUGUGUACGACCAGAACCAACAUAAUCAGCAAAAUCAGUCCAGAAGGGCAGGGGGUUGGCAGGCAGGAAGCAUUUUAGUUUAUUGUAUGUUAAUACAACCCAUCACCUCCAUGCCCUUCUCAUCUGUUGUGCAGAUGCAAUCACAGAUGUGCAGUGCUUUCUACAAGGCUCCAUGCAGAACAACUUCCCAAUUGGAGUUCCUGGUUCUUAAACUCAUAAAGAUGGUAUUGUAUUGUAAAGCACUGAGUGUAUUAAAGACAGGACUAAGACCUUUUCCCUGGUGCUAUGUAGGCUUGCACUUGAACUAGGAGCCCAGGCUGUGCUGCUAGGCUGAGCAAUCAUCCAGUCCUUGGUGCACUUAGCCUCCUGCCUGCCAUCACUUGCUGUUUAAUCAUUCCCUGCAACUAUGACAUACAAUGUCUUAUGCAAAGCACUAUGGAUUAAGAACUCAGAAAAGUCAGGCUGUUUUCUGCACUUCUGCUUAUAUGUCAGUUUUGCUACCACAGUACCAAUAGAAGCUCAGAUAAUAAAUGGAUAAUAAAAAAAGGUGUACCUCGAUCAAAGGCCAUUUUCACAUCUUCAAUGUGCUCAGUGAAGCCUGACACUCUGUAGAGCCCCUCAGACUUUAAACCUGAAACACACACACACAAAUCUUGGUUAACUUUGCUUCAGCAACCAACAAGUAUUUAGGCUUAAAAAAACAUGAAGCAAGAACAACAGAUCUAGUAAAGGUAGCAAAAUGCUGCAAUGUGAAAUUCUGAGGCAUUUAAGGAAGGAGCAGGAUAAUUUUACAUUGUUUUUUAAAAGGAUUCAAGAAUCCUAGAACUUAUACAAUUCUGAUUUUUGCUAGGGAUGUGGUUGAUUAUGCUAGAGGAAGAUAUUGCAAUUUGCUAAUGCUGAGGCACGUGAUUUCAUAACGAUUUACUCAUUUUAUGCAGUGGAUUUCCCUGGAUUUGGCUGCAAUUAAUAAAGCUUUAGAGGUCUCCUUUCCUUUUACCAGUUGCUUAAUGACAAAUAGCUAUGCAAGGCAGAGAUGCCCUUUCCCAUGAGCACAUUUGUUCCUAGUUUUGCUGCCAGCUUUUACUUAUACACAGCUGACAGAUGCGAUGGAUACUGUUCUUCUGCCCAUCAGUACAUCCCUUCCACAGUUCUUUCACAACGGGCCUCACUUGCACCACUCUCCCUACAUUGCUCCACACCAACAUGAAACGUAGGGCAGAGCUAGCCACAUAUGUUAUUUAAUUCCAGAAACUCUGAUUGUGACUAUGCACAGUCUAACCCACUUGUCAGGUGCAAUACACUUUGUUUCUUAGGAAUGAAAUCAAUAUCUUACAGAGUUCUGUUGCAACUAAGGAAAUAAAGGGAAAAAAAAAGAUGUUGAAAAAAUGCAGUGGCCAGCAGAUUUUAUCUUAACCAAUAAAGUAAGAAAUUGGAGCUCAAAUGCAACUUAUCCUCCUGCUAUAUCAUCAGCAUAAAGCUCUUCUGUCUUAGUCCAAGCUGUUCUUUCUGUUUGUCCCUGAAGUGAUGAAUCCCAGUAGAGCUUUCAGAGCAGUGUGGGAGAUGUAACCCUUUGAUUGAUUUCAGUAGAUGAUACAUGUGUGUGAAAUCCCUGUGGCUAGCAUCAUUCUGUUGCCAUGCAGAUUACUGGGAUGCCAUGAAUUCAAUGUCAUGAGAUUCCUGUGGUGAAGCUAUGACUAAUAGGGCAAUGUGGCUUUUUUUGCGUGAGAUCCACCUUGGCUAUCUAAAGCAAACAGUUACUUUGUUGUGUUGAACUAAAGCAAUGUUGCAUCUGUGUUGUAUCUAAAACAAUGGUUACUUAGUUGUGUUGAACUAAAGCAAAGUUGUAUCUGUGCUGUAGCUAAAGUAAACAGUUACUUUGUUGUGUUGAACUCAA
Molecule: long non-coding RNA, 3199 nt
Organism: Pogoniulus pusillus (Red-fronted tinkerbird)
Lineage: Eukaryota; Metazoa; Chordata; Aves; Piciformes; Lybiidae
Exons: 2
Source: RefSeq, a predicted model, not a curated record